GUAGUCCACGCCGUAAACGAUGUCGACUUGGAGGUUGUUCCCUUGAGGAGUGGCUUCCGGAGCUAACGCGUUAAGUCGACCGCCUGGGGAGUACGGCCGCAAGGUUAAAACUCAAAUGAAUUGACGGGGGCCCGCACAAGCGGUGGAGCAUGUGGUUUAAUUCGAUGCAACGCGAAGAACCUUACCUACUCUUGACAUCCAGAGAACUUAGCAGAGAUGCUUUGGUGCCUUCGGGAACUCUGAGACAGGUGCUGCAUGGCUGUCGUCAGCUCGUGUUGUGAAAUGUUGGGUUAAGUCCCGCAACGAGCGCAACCCUUAUCCUUUGUUGCCAGCGGUUAGGCCGGGAACUCAAAGGAGACUGCCAGUGAUAAACUGGAGGAAGGUGGGGAUGACGUCAAGUCAUCAUGGCCCUUACGAGUAGGGCUACACACGUGCUACAAUGGCGCAUACAAAGAGAAGCGACCUCGCGAGAGCAAGCGGACCUCAUAAAGUGCGUCGUAGUCCGGAUUGGAGUCUGCAACUCGACUCCAUGAAGUCGGAAUCGCUAGUAAUCGUAGAUCAGAAUGCUACGGUGAAUACGUUCCCGGGCCUUGUACACACCGCCCGUCACACCAUGGGAGUGGGUUGCAAAAGAAGUAGGUAGCUUAACCUUCGGGAGGGCGCUUACCACUUUGUGAUUCAUGACUGGGGU
RNAcentral lists this ribosomal RNA (691 nucleotides) under uncultured Serratia sp. Its description in RNAcentral is "bacterial SSU rRNA". It matches the Rfam family "Bacterial small subunit ribosomal RNA", at positions 790 to 1481 of the family's 1533-position model. The record is from RNAcentral. Lineage: Bacteria; Pseudomonadati; Pseudomonadota; Gammaproteobacteria; Enterobacterales; Yersiniaceae.